AGUGCUAAGCUCCAAGGUAGCCUGGGCUAAUGGGUGUGUGAGGCCAAGAAAAAGGGAGCUGGAAGCUGAAUCAGACAAGGCCUGUACCCCGCCAGGAGCCCUGAUCUCCAAGGGGAAGAGCAGUGCUCAGAAAGGCCAGAGCGUGGUAAACAGUGCCUUCCAGGCCAUGUGUCCUUCAAGCCCAGCUUAGACCAACAGCGUUCAUGCCCAACCUGUACAGACUCCCUCCUCAAUGGAGAUUUCACUAUCACCUAUGACGUGAACAGAGAAUCUCCUGGUAACGUGCAGAUAGUCAAUGGCUACUUCGUGCACUUCUUUGCACCUCAAGGCCUUCCAGUGGUGCCUAAGAACGUGGCCUUCGUGAUUGACAUCAGCGGCUCCAUGGCUGGUCGGAAAUUAGAGCAGACAAAGGAGGCCCUUCUCAGAAUCCUGGAAGAUAUGAAAAAGGAAGACUAUCUGAAUUUCAUCCUGUUCAGUGGAGAUGUAUCCACAUGGAAAGAGCACUUAGUCCAGGCCACGCCCGAAAACC
RNAcentral lists this small RNA (529 nucleotides) under Pongo abelii (Sumatran orangutan). Its description in RNAcentral is "processed transcript". Lineage: Eukaryota; Metazoa; Chordata; Mammalia; Primates; Hominidae. The record is from RNAcentral.